Molecule: unclassified non-coding RNA, 360 nt
Filed under: Hevea brasiliensis (rubber tree)
Lineage: Eukaryota; Viridiplantae; Streptophyta; Magnoliopsida; Malpighiales; Euphorbiaceae
Source: RNAcentral
GAAAAAGUUUCAAAUCUUCUUCCUAAUUAUACUAAUCCAAUCUGGCGAGAUUCUCAAGACCCCACCGAGACAAAAACAAAGGAAACCAUCAAGAGUACAUCUGUUUCUGAACAGAAAAACAGUCCAUGUCCCUAGUACAAGAGUCUGUAUGAUAAGAAACAUGAUUCUGAUGACUCAGAUUGUUAUAAUUAUAAUCUGAGAUCAAGUCAGAACUCCUUGUGAAUUGACUGCAGGCUGUCCACUUGAAACUGGAAAAAAAUAUACAUUUGUAUAAUCAAUUUUAAUAAAAUAAAUUAUUUGUCUUCAUGUAUGACUUAAUUAGGUAUAAAUCAUGUGCCUACCUAACUAGUUCUUAUCUUG